UUCCACAAUAUGCGGCAUUCCUGUAGGAAAAUUCAUGUCGAGUAGCCCUUUGGUGUCAAGCUUUCCAAAAGAAUUUAACACAGUGCAACUCUCGAAUCUUAAAAAUGGCGGGCACUUGGAUCGACGACUAGUUCACAAAGAAGAGGUAUUCAUAGCCUCUUCUUUCGGCGUUGUUUCCGCGAUACUUCGGCAAAAACUAAAAGCGGGCGAAGAAGAAAAGUACAGUUGGUUGGUUGAUGGCAUCAACAGCCUAAAUAUUGGCCAAGAUAAUGAAGAUUGCCAAACAGCGACUGACACACGUGACAACAACAAGGACAAAAUUCAUGACCCUGUACAAACAGUAUUUGGAGUCGAUUCAAGGUCAGCCAUAUCCAUAGAGGAUAUCGAGAAGUGUCAAGAUGAAAAUCUUAAGCUUAAGGCUGAACUUGAAGUUGUGCUUUCCCAGUUGGAGGCCCUUCGAGAUGAGAUGAAAAACGGCGGUCAAUCGACGCUGAGCUCAGGCACACAGGACCCGGCAAAGGACAACCCGGACAGUACAAGCGAUAUGUGGACCUUGAUCGGCGAUGUUUGCGAUAAGUUCCAGGUGCCUCUUGCAUCUUUAUUCGCCGAUCAGGUGGACCAGAAUGUUGAAGUGGCUAAGGUGAUGAGCGAUAUCGCAGAACAGCUGCUGAGAAAAAAAGACCCGAAGCAAGCCCUGGAAGCAAUACUGGGGGACAGUGCCCCAAAAUUCUUUAAAUCCGUUCGUGUGCCCGAUUGGACGUUGCUUUACUUCAAGCUGCAGUCCCAGAUCCCAGACCAAGGAUGGCAAACCUUGUUGAACUUUACAAAGUUAGGGCGAACUAAGGUAGGCAGCAAGUCAUCCUAUCAAUGUCAGUCAUGCAUCAAGUGAGAGCUGUAAAAGUGUCUACCCUAUAGCAAUUGCAAAUUGUGAGGAAAACAGGAUCAAUGUUGAAGCCCUAAUAAAGGAAAUCAAUGCCCAAAAAAAUGCCAUCAAGAAAAAUGGAAUAACUAUUGAUGGAAGACACUUUAA
Pocillopora verrucosa is the source of this 1030-nucleotide non-coding RNA. The record is from RefSeq and is a predicted model, not a curated record. NCBI's taxonomy places the organism in Eukaryota, Metazoa, Cnidaria, Anthozoa, Scleractinia, Pocilloporidae.